AAACUGUCGAAUUUCAUAAGUCCGCGCAGCUCUCCGUCGUCGUCGGUACGCGCACUGCACGGUUUUUACCUUUCCAAAAACAAAAACAAAAAUCGAAUAUAAUCGCAUUGAUCAUUAACUUUAUUAGAUUUAAUUAGAAAAAAUAUAUAUAUAUAUGUAUACAAAAACCCCGAAAAAAAAAAAAAAACAAAAACCCCAAUCGCGAAUCGGAUUCGAGUCCCGCAUUUCUAUACGCUCCCGAUAGUAUUAUUACAACCGAAAACGGGAAAUCGUUUACGAUUGUCAAAAAAAAAAAUAAUAUACCGCAGCGUCCGGCCCGGAGGUAUUACGGCCAUCGCGAUAUCUCGAAUAGCAUUAAGUGUGUCAGUAAUUUUUUGCCUUUUUUUUCUUUUGUUUCGUUUAACAACUUUAAUAAGAAAUGAGUAGCUCUGAAAUGCUCGCCCCGUCGUUAAUUCUUUUGCCGCCCCUGUUUUCGGGGGUGAACCGACCACCCGGUUCACACUUCAAACGGCAUCUCGAACGGAAAUUUCCAUAAAUAGACGGAAUGUCGUUCGUUUUAUAUUAGACAUUCCGGUUUUUAAGGUUGGUUGAUGGGGAGGAGGGGGCGGAGGGUAGUAGCGGACCGCCAUUUGCGUGGCGACACAGCGCGUCGGGUUCGAACGGCGUUCCGCAACUAAACCUCCCGUUGCCCAAAUUUAAAAUUUAGAGUAACUCGUCAACGGGCAGACGGAAAUCAAACAUUUCGACAUCGAUAUCCGAUAUAUGUGGACCAAAAUAAAUCCGUCUAUAUUUGCGGGAUUUUCAAUGUAGGCUGUCGUUUGAAAAUCAAAAGCGUAGUGAGCCGCUGUCGGUUCAGUCCAGAAAAUAACGCGUGACGAAACAUAAACGUUUUAGAGAUACUUGCUUUUUAAAUUGUCGGUAAAAAAAAAAAAAAGCGUCUAAAAAAUGUCAACACUCUCCUCCAAGGUAUCGCAAUGACCGUGUCUUCGUGGGACGUAUCAAACAUAAUAUAACACAUGCGUUACGGUAUAAAAGUAAGAAUACCGGUGAAAGCCACACCGAUAAGUCUCAGGUUUUACCGACUAUACUGUCGGUAAACGUCCGAAUUCCAGAUUUCGAAUGUCUUAAUUUCGGACGUUAACCGCUCGAUUUCGGUAAAACUUAGGACGUACGAAUUAUUUUGGUCGAACCCCGAACGGUUAUUUUCGUAUAACGGACUUUUACGGACGAGAUUUGGUAAAUCGUAGGAUAAAAAUGGCUGUUUCGUUAUAUAGUGUCGGUAAAAGUCCGAAAUUUCCAUUUUUUUUUUUGUUCUCUCUUCCUACUUAUCGUGCGGUUUUUUCCUCUUGCUUUACCCUAGGAUAUUAUUACGUAUUAUUCGUACGCCAUUAUAAUAAUUAACAACCGUUAAUAAAAAAAAAAAAAAAAAAAAAAGAUUAUUUUCGCAGGCUUGGCUACUGUGACAUCUUUGGUUACAUAAUUAAUUAAUCGACGGACAUUUCCGUCGGUUUGUCUUGCAUUUUUUUUUUCACCCGAGAAGGAGAGCUGCGAUACCGCGUGUGUAUGGAACAGGUGAAAAAAGAAAAACCACGCCCGAUAAGUAGAAGAAAAAAAAUAACGAAAUUUCGGCCUUUUGAUUACAAUAAUAUUAUAUUUCAUCCUACGAUGUACCGAAUCCCGUUUGUAAACGUCCAGACUUCAAAAAAUCAUUCAGGGUUUAGCGAAGGUAACUUUUAUUUCCUGGAUUUUGUAUAUAAUCGCACAAUUAAUCACCCGUAUCCCUAAUUUUACCGUAACAUAUUUUAUUAUGCUAACGUCGAAAUUCGUAAUUGAAUAAACCGAAUCCAUCACGUGUAAAAUAAAAUCUUUUCCGACAAGUGGCGACUGCAGAAGGGUUGAAAUAAUAAAAAAAAAUGUAUACAUAUAUAUAUAUAUAUAUUAGCAUAUUCUAAUAACUAUAAUUUUCCGUGCGUAAUAAUGUAACAAGUGCCGACUCGAAUUCAAAAUUGUACUUAUUUAGAACGUUAAAAAGAAAACAAUAAUAAUAUUUUGUUCGCCGGAUUCCGGAAAACUGGGCGAUAGUUAAUUUAAUAAUUAUGAUCAUUUUUUUUUUUUUUUAAACCCUAUAAAUUCCUCGCAUCGCUCAGAAAAUUAAAAAUAAACAGUGGAAACAAAAUAUUGAAAUAUUUCGAUAGGGAAAAUGCAAUUUUUUUUGUAUAUCAUAAUAUUAGUACACCAGAAUUGUGAAAUUUAAAAAUUAAGUAAACAAAAAACUCGAUGAGUGUAGGUCGUGGUUACAAACAGCGCUGCUCUGUGUGAUUUUUUUUGAAAAUGUUUUCCCCCCCGAACUCCGAGUUGUUAAUCAAGAUUUCGCGUAGUGUUUCGCGGGUAUGAGCAGACGGACCGAUCGUUUUAGACUGCCUACCACUUACUAAUUUAUAAAAACAAACGAAGCAAAACAAAAUAAAAAAAAAUCAUAAUAAUAAAUCGCGAUUGAUCGAUUUCGAGUUGUUCUCGACUUAGAUGACGGUGCGACAGACCAUCCCGUGAGGUACAUCGAGUUGAACAGAUCUCCGACAACUUAUCACCGGUGAAAUAUCGCAAAGCCAAUACGUCGUAUGCGUACAACGUCAUCAGUAAAUAAUCACAUGGACAAAAUAUCGUAGCUAAUAUAUAAUCAGUGGCACGUUUAGGGGGACUAGGGGGCAUGUUUAGUCUAUCUGGAUCGUCCGAAACCCCUUUAAUUCUAACAAUAAUAUUUAUGUAAUAUCGUAGUGCAGUUAGCUGCAAAUGCAGCUAAUGUUAGCCUACCGUGGCACUGCUUUCAGCCCGACCGACCGUUUUGUUGUUUAAAUUCCUUUGCGUAUUUGAAUUCCCUGCUACUGUACUGUAACUGUUGCAAUUUCAGUUAAAUUUCGUUGGCGUCACAUACCGUUUAUACGUUUUUUAGACAGAAAGACGUCGGGGCAGAAGGUCAAUGAGCAUAUCCGCUGUUAAGUCGACGGUAUUAUUUUAUCGCUGCGAUAUUAUGGUCACGGACGAUAAUAAUUCCUUGCGAUACAUUGGUUUCGCGAUAUUUCGUUGGCACUAUUUUACUCACAUGUUUGAUAUUAUUUUUUGUCGGCGAUAUUUUGUCGGCAUACCGAGUUGACCGAGAGUUAUUUUCCGGGACGGGGACUGACAGUUAAUAAAGAAUAAAACAUUAUAUUUAUUACGCGAAAAACAAUAUACCGGAAGCGCAAUUUUCACAAACGUUUCUUAGAAAACUCGAGUGGAAUGAGAUGAAAAAAAAAAAAAAAAAAAAAAAAAAAAACAUUUGCUCUGUAUAUUUCA
Non-coding RNA from Cinara cedri, 3333 nucleotides. The record is from the annotation of a GenBank genome assembly. Lineage: Eukaryota; Metazoa; Arthropoda; Insecta; Hemiptera; Aphididae.